RNAcentral lists this small nuclear RNA (101 nucleotides) under Mus spicilegus (steppe mouse). RNAcentral's name for it is "U1 spliceosomal RNA (ENSMSIG00000006474.1)". It matches the Rfam family "U1 spliceosomal RNA". Rfam says of the family: U1 is a small nuclear RNA (snRNA) component of the spliceosome (involved in pre-mRNA splicing). Its 5' end forms complementary base pairs with the 5' splice junction, thus defining the 5' donor site of an intron. Lineage: Eukaryota; Metazoa; Chordata; Mammalia; Rodentia; Muridae. The record is from RNAcentral.
AUAUUUACAUGGCAGGGCAGACACCAUAAUCACAAAGGUGGUUUACCCAGGCCAAGGCUUUGACUGCAUAAUUUAUAGUAGUAGGGAGGUUGCAUUCCCAC